CGCAAAUGUUCGCGGUGGAUUAGGUUCGCGCCUGGUUGUCGCGCUGGUGACUUCGUCGGUUGCGUGAGGCGCGCCAGAUGCCUCGUUCUGUGGGAAGCUCCAAGUGGAAGGGCGACAGCGGACCGCCUUCAUACUGUAGCCAAGAAUCUUUUGUUACAUUUUUAUUCAUAAGCUGUAAGUAAAUUGGAAAUGCCAGCUGGAUUAAAUCAAGAUGCUCAGAAGCUAUAUAAAUAUAUUACAGAAGAAAAAAAAUAAAGCUCCCUGUAAGAGAAGUUCCCACAUCUAUAUUCAACAUUGGAUAACUGCAGGAUCAUGCUGUAGCACUGAUGAUGCUCAUGUGUGAAACAACCUUCACAAGUUGAGGACGACCGAAUUUAUUUAUGAAUCACCUAACAAAAUCUCCAGCAGUUAAAUAUAAGGCAGCUCAUGCUGCUACCAAAUGAAGUUUUUUUAAUCUAAUUUUAUACAUAUCUGCUUUAAAAUAGGUGCAGCUAAGUGUGCUAAAUCUUAGGUAUGAGAUUGCAGGAUUUCAGUGUAAGGACUGCACAUUCUAACACAUUUUUAUAGAAGAAAUAGACAUUUCCACCUAGAUGAGCAUAGACUACUGCAAUGAUGCAUAUCUUUUUCAACACAUGAGAGAAAGCAACAGACCCCUAAAAGUAAACACUUCACUCAUUUUUCUUAAAGGCAAGCUAAUUAAUGUAGAGUUGCUUCUGAGAAACCAGGACAGACCAGCUCUAAACUGCAUACUGAGUUUUGAAAUGAAAUGGCUAUAAUAUUAGCAGAUACACUGCUUAAUCUGUUUAGCCACUGCAAGUAAUUCAUUUGGUGAGAAAUUGGUCAUGCUGUGGAAAACAAUUCUGAUGCUUUGGAAUUGCUGGUACAUGUGUGUGAGAGAGACAGAUGGCAAUGGAGAGUCGUCUGUAUUUCCACACCACUCCCUAACAUGUUGCAGUUGGUACAAAAAUCCCUGGCAGAACUCUUUGCCCUCUAGACAUCAGCCAGAGGGCAAAUCAUAUGCCCUCUGUCUCCGGAGCUUGCCUUUUUUUUUUUUUUUUUGGUGGGGGGGGAACCCAGAUGCUGCCCUGAACUAAACUGAUAGGUAAAGUCAAAACGACAACCGGAAUGCUAGAUGGCUUUUGCAGGUGUGUGGAAAGAUGGGCAAUUGCAGGAUUUCAAAUCCUAUUAAAGAUGGUAAAGCCAAUAUACUCUCCACCUUGCUUUAUAAAAACCCAGGGAAAAGGAAAGGAAAGAGACAAAAACGAAACGAAAUAAUCCAUUUCCCAUCUAAAAGCUGCAUUCCUCUUCACGCCGAAUUAGGAAUCAACUCUCG
Long non-coding RNA from Ahaetulla prasina, 1333 nucleotides. RefSeq lists it as uncharacterized. The record is from RefSeq and is a predicted model, not a curated record. Lineage: Eukaryota; Metazoa; Chordata; Lepidosauria; Squamata; Colubridae. The transcript has 3 exons.